ACGGGAGCAAUCCUGGUGGCGAGUGGCGAACGGGUGAGUAAUAUAUCGGAACGUGCCCAGUCGUGGGGGAUAACGCAGCGAAAGCUGUGCUAAUACCGCAUACGAUCUCUGGAUGAAAGCGGGGGACCGCAAGGCCUCGCGCGAUUGGAGCGGCCGAUAUCAGAUUAGCUAGUUGGUGGGGUAAAAGCUCACCAAGGCGACGAUCUGUAGCUGGUCUGAGAGGACGACCAGCCACACUGGAACUGAGACACGGUCCAGACUCCUACGGGAGGCAGCAGUGGGGAAUUUUGGACAAUGGGCGCAAGCCUGAUCCAGCAAUGCCGCGUGCAGGAUGAAGGCCUUCGGGUUGUAAGCUGCUUUUGUACGGAACGAAACGGUUCUUUUUAAUAAAGAGGGCUAAUGACGGUACCGUAAGAAUAAGCACCGGCUAACUACGUGCCAGCAGCCGCGGUAAUACGUAGGGUGCGAGCGUUAAUCGGAAUUACUGGGCGUAAAGCGUGCGCAGGCGGUUUUGUAAGACAGAUGUGAAAUCCCCGGGCUCAACCUGGGACCUGCAUUUGUGACUGCAAGGCUAGAGUACGGUAGAGGGGGAUGGAAUUCCGCGUGUAGCAGUGAAAUGCGUAGAUAUGCGGAGGAACACCGAUGGCGAAGGCAAUCCCCUGGACCUGUACUGACGCUCAUGCACGAAAGCGUGGGGAGCAAACAGGAUUAGAUACCCUGGUAGUCCACGCCCUAAACGAUGUCAACUGGUUGUUGGGUCUUUACUGACUCAGUAACGAAGCUAACGCGUGAAGUUGACCGCCUGGGGAGUACGGCCGCAAGGUUGAAACUCAAGGAAUUGACGGGGACCCGCACAAGCGUGGAUGAUGUGGUUUAAUUCGAUGC
RNAcentral lists this ribosomal RNA (885 nucleotides) under uncultured bacterium. RNAcentral's name for it is "bacterial SSU rRNA". It matches the Rfam family "Bacterial small subunit ribosomal RNA", at positions 73 to 957 of the family's 1533-position model. The record is from RNAcentral.